RNAcentral lists this long non-coding RNA (855 nucleotides) under Arachis ipaensis. RNAcentral's name for it is "long non-coding RNA (AIPA_LNC000356)". The record is from RNAcentral. Lineage: Eukaryota; Viridiplantae; Streptophyta; Magnoliopsida; Fabales; Fabaceae.
UAAAACCUUGAUGUACACCUUAACCAGCUGACCUUGAUUAAUUCACAUUACCAACCAUGGAUAAAAAAAAGAUGAAACGUGUAAUUACAGGAUUGGUUCAUAAAUAAUAUAAAGAGGAAGGACAUUGCUCAUUUUAUUUGCACCACCAUACAAACAAACACACACAACAAUCUAAGAGCAAAAUCAAACAUGUCUCCUAAAGUGUCACUCUAUCUUGUAGUAUUAGGCUUGGUGCUUCUAGUAGCAUCAACUACUACCAUGGCUGAUCAUUAUCAUGAUCAUGAUCAUGAUCAUGAUCACUACCAUCACCACUAUCCACCAAAGAAACACUGGCCUCCAACCACCACACAUGUGACGGACCAGGAAACACCACAAAGCAGUGAAGCACAGGAGGAUACCUACCAUCACAAGCCUCCUUAUCAUCACAAACCACCUUACCAUCACAAGCCUCCAACCAAAAAUUAAUAAUAUUUAUGUGAAGCUACUUAUUCCGUGCACUCUGUGGACCAUGGACUAUAUGAUAUGAUAUGAUAUGAAUAUAUAUAUGAUAAGACUUGAAGUCGUGAAAAUAAUAGCUUCAUUAUUCUACGUUAUUUAUGUUUAUCUUUUGCUGUUGUGUGUAUCUGAACUUUGGUUAUAUAUGUAUGUCGAAAAGAAAUAAAGCUGUAGCAUGUGCUACGUGUAUGCAUGUGAUAUGAUUGGAUUUCGAAUUUUCAUUUCUUUCCAUUUAUGUAAACUUCUUCUGUAAUCGUUGAUAUUAUUUAUGAAAUAAUAAUAAAUAGUGUUUCCAUUGUUGUUGUUCUGGAUAUGAUCAAUCUUGUGCAUACAUUGAAAAUUUGAAAUACUACCAAUACG